RNAcentral lists this ribosomal RNA (253 nucleotides) under uncultured bacterium. Its description in RNAcentral is "partial 16S ribosomal RNA". It matches the Rfam family "Bacterial small subunit ribosomal RNA", at positions 524 to 776 of the family's 1533-position model. The record is from RNAcentral.
UACGUAGGGUGCAAGCGUUAUCCGGAAUCACUGGGCGUAAAGCGUGCGUAGGCGGGAAUUUAAGUGAGGUGUUAAAUCGUGUGGCUCAACCAUAUCGAUGCAUCUCAUACUGGGUUCCUAGAGGAUGGCAGAGGCAAGUGGAAUUGGUAGUGUAGCAGUGAAAUGCGUAGAUAUUACCAGGAACACCAAUGGCGAAGGCAGCUUGCUGGGCCACCCCUGACGCUGAGGUACGAAAGCGUGGGGAGCGAACAGG